GUCGUACACGCACCUGGGACCGUGACGUCCCCGUUUGGGGACUUUGCGUGCAGGCCCCGCCCCGCCGUACUCUCCUUCCCGAUCCCCUCCUCCCAGGAGAGUGGACAGAACUCUGGGCGCGCAGGCAGGGCUCGGCCCCGGGGCAGACCUCACUUUCUGCGGUGGAGAGCUGCGGUGUCCCGUGAGCUGGCCUGGCCGCCCGAGGCCGCGAAAGGCCCAGGGCUUUGUAAAUGGGCUCGGACCCAGAACUCAGGUGGCGCGAAGAAAGACGCGUGACGUGGGAACCCGCGUCCUCACUGAAUACGUGGCGCGUGGGGCCCACCUUCAGGGAGCAGAAGUUCUGGAGCAGGAUUUCAGCUGAACCUGAAUAACAUCAUACCUUUGGAGAGUCACACCUGUUUCAUGCAGAAUCAGCUAUUACCAUACAGCCCUACCACUACUGACUUUAAAAAACUGUGCUUUGGAGAUAUUUGGAUCCCAGACAUGUCCAUUAGUUUCGUAAUGAGCACAUUUUAUAUAAUACAGAAACAUAAACUGAAAAAGCUUAUUGUCCAGAUGGUAAUAGGAGUGCUGUGUGACAAAUUGUGUUCCAUAUUUUGUGGACUGUGAACACUGAACAAUGUGUCCUUUGAACACAAACAUUGUUUUCAAAAGGCUAAAUCUCUGAAGAUAAGCAUUUUUCAAUCACAAAUCCUUUCCCCCAAAUGUAUAUUUUAUAUUGCUCGAAAUGGAUCAAACUAGCAUAGGAAACUGAUAAAAAUAGUAAGGCAAAAUAUUAAGAUGUUAUCAAGAAUCAUCUUAAUUACUAAAAUAUUACAAAUGAUAACUAUUAGAGUCUUAGCAGGCACUAUAUUUUUCAAAGCACAUUUUUGUGCACUGUUUUAUUCUCACUGCUGCCACUUCAACCCCCUGUCUAGGGGGUUAUGAUUAUUCUCAUCUGACAGUUGCGGAAAUAAGGUCUGGAGUGAGUCAGCAGUACAGGUGUAGACAGAAGCCUGUGACUUUGUUAUUAUAUCUCACCUCUCUGGCCAACCCUUGUGUGGUCAUAAGAUGGUGGGAUUAGUUCAAACCCUCCGAACACGUCUUCCAACUUUCAGACUCCACCCUUCCACAACAAAAGAUGUGCAUUCUCACUAGACAAUGCUUUUAAAAACAUUGCUUUUUUCCCAUCACCACACUAUUUCGAAACUCUGGGCGGAUCUCCACUUCUGAAAGGAUUCCAUCAGCCUUCACAGAAUGCAUUUUCAGUAUGACCUUCAUCUGCUGUUCUAACUCAUGUCCAGAUUCCUCAGUGCUAACUCUCAUUGCAGUCAAACCAGUGUGUCCAUUUCCCCUAGCAAAUGUCUUAGUCGCAUCUGCCUUUGCUCCUGUUGGUUUGACAAGGGAAGAUGCCUCCUGUUGGCCCAUCUAUACUUAUCAAAUCUUACUUAGUCCCUGGAGCCUUGUCUGCUUACAUCAUUCCUGACUAAUACUACCUUCCACUAACAGCAUUAAAGUAGACCAGCAUUGUCUAAUGGAAAUGUAAUGAGAAUCACAUAUAUAGUUUCUAAUAGUUAUAUU
Phyllostomus discolor (pale spear-nosed bat) is the source of this 1560-nucleotide long non-coding RNA. RefSeq lists it as uncharacterized. The record is from RefSeq and is a predicted model, not a curated record. The transcript has 3 exons. Lineage: Eukaryota; Metazoa; Chordata; Mammalia; Chiroptera; Phyllostomidae.